GAGCACAACCCGGCCCUCCCUCCAGCGACAGAGAGGAGCGAAGCGCUGCCAGCUCUGGCAUGGAUACGGAGCCAGGCUCACACAGGGGAAUGGACCCAGGGCCAGAAAAACUUGGCAAGGAAUGGCUAAGAGUACCACCUGUGUGGAACGCUUCUGGAACAUUCUACUGCUCAAAGACAAGAGGAGGAUCAGCUGUGGAGAGGGAGAGAGGAGACAAGAGGAGGAUCAGCUGUGGAGAGAGAGAGGAGACAAGAGGAGGAUCAGCUGUGGAGAGAGAUGAGACAAGAGGAGGAUCAGCUGUGGAGAGAGAGGAGACAAGAGGAGGAUCAGCUGUGGAGAGAGAGGAGACAAGAGGAGGAUCAGCUGUGGAGAGAGAGAGGAGACAAGAGGAGGAUCAGCUGUGGAGAGAGGAGACAAGAGGAGGAUCAGAUGUGGAGAGAGAGGAGACAAGAGGAGGAUCAGCUGUGGAGAGAGAGAGGGGACAACUCCUUUGGGUUGUGCCGUGGGGGAGAUCUUCGUGGGCUAUAAUCGGCCUUGUCUCAGGAUGAGGACCUGAGCCCUAGGACCAUGCCUCAGGACUACCUGGCCUGAUGAUUCCUUGCUGUCCCCAGUCCACCUGGCCGUGCUGCUGCUCCAGUUUCAACUGUUCUGCCUGCGGCUAUGGAACCCUGACCUGUUCACCGGACGUGUUAUCUGUCCCAGACCUGCUGUUUUCAACUCUCUAGAGACAGCAGGAGCGGUAGAGAUACUCUGAACGACUGGCUAUAAAAUGCCAACUGACAUUUACUCCUGAGGUGCUGACCUGUUGCACCCUCUACAACCACUGUGAUUAUUAUUAUUUGACCCUGCUGGUCAUCCAUGAACAUUUGAACAUCUUGGCCAUGUUCUGUUAUAAUCUCCACCCGGCACAGCCAGAAGAGGACUGGCCACCCCAUAGCCUGGUUCCUCUCGAGGUUUCUUCCUAGGUUCUGGCCUUUCUAGGGUGUUUUUCCUAGCCACUGUGCUUCUACACCUGCAUUGCUUGCUGUUUGGGGUUUUAGGCUGGGUUUCUGUACAGCACUUUGUGACAUCAGCUGAUGUAAGAAGGGAUUUAUAAAUACAUUUGAUUGAUUGAUUGACAAUAGGAGGAUCAGCUGUGGAAAGAGAGAGGAGACAAGGAGGAAAAGCUGUAGAGAGAGAGUAGACAAGAGGAGGAUCAGCUGUGGAGAGAGAGGAGACAAGAGGAGGAUCAGCUGUGGAGAGAGAGAGGAGACAAGAGGAGGAUCAGCUGUGGAGAGAGAGUAGACAAGAGGAGGAUCAGCUGUGGAGAGAGAGGAGAUCCUUCCCUGCUCCAAUAGACUAUUACAGCCUUAAUUUGGACUCUCACAUUGGGAUUUUAAUAGAUCAAAACAAGACAAUAUUUUAACUCCUCAGGUUAGUUGUUAUGUAAACUUGUUUUGGUGAAGAAGAGGAUUGACCUUGCAGAUUCUGUUGUUGCCACAGUGUUCUAUUUGAAAUACACUCAGCUUUGAACUUGUUAUUUUGUCUGUCGCAGUCAGGAAGUAAAUUACAAUGGGAGAGAGAAGGAUUCACAAUGGAAGGUAAAAGGCUUACUUCAGAGUAAUAGGGAUGGAGAAAUUACAUUUAACACCAGUGUAGAGACAGAGAAGUUAUUACCCUAGCGGUUAUUGGAUUUGCUGUGAGUGGACCUCUCAGUUUUGAAAAAGGUUCCCCUUCAUAAUAGAACUGCAAACAUAUCAUUGAAGUACAGUAAGCUCGUACUAUCCCUAUGAUCAGCUGGCUCCAGUUCAUUACAUAGAUACUAUCUAGAAUUACACAGUGACUUUCCUCCCACUCCUCCAUGGAGCUCUUCUGAGCUUAACUUAUUUACCAGUCUCUCCUUUUGAUUGCAAUCUAUUAAGAAUUACCUGCCUCCCAGCUCAGUCAGAACAAUUACAUUGCUCUGCAGUCUGUAUUGGAAAUCGAUAGCUGCCUGGGUUCAAUCAAGCCCAGUUGAUAGUCCUCUUUAACCCAGAGACGCCAGAGGAGAUGUCUAUUGAAGGUGACGCCGAUUGUCACUCGGACUCAAUCCGGCCCCCUGUCGUGAGACGGAGAGGGAACGAUCUGCCCGGCAGAAUGAUUCCUCCACCUGAGUCGCUCCUCAGAUCGAUGGGAAUGGUGUUGUGAUUCUCCCGACUCCUCCCUAAUUGCUACAGCAGGUGAAUGAGGGAGACAUUGAUUCUGCAUGUCUGCCUGGUGUGUUAAGACAUCAACAACCCUGCUGUGGCUACUCCAUUACCAAGGCGUUUGAACACACAAUAACUAAUGUUAGCUCAUCAUGACUGAGAACUGCAUGAUAUUGUAAGGUCAGACAAGGCAAGACUAGUUAUCCAUACAGUAGAACAAUGAACUUAGUAUAUUUUGUGUUGUAAUCUACUCCUCUGGGAUAGCACAUGAUAGAGUCCUGCGUCCCAAAUGGUAUCCUAUUCCCUGUAUAUUUCACUAUAGUUCACCACUUUUGACUAGAGACCUGUAGGCCCUGGUUGAAAUGAAUGCAAUACAUAGGGAAUAGGUUGCCAUUUGGGACGCAGACAUUGAAGUUCCUUGAUUGACACAAGUUGUACUUGAGAAAAGUCAUUGUAUGGCAACAUGCAGCUGGACUCCAGAUCCUAAACAAACUGGACAGCAGUAUAGUCCCCUGAAUUAAAAACAGAUAUAUUUAUAGACUGGUAAAUCAAUCCAACUCAACAUCACAGUGAAGUAGAACAGCUAACAUGACAGCACUCAGCAUGAGAGGAGAAGGAGAAGGAGAAGGAGAAGGAGAAGGAGAAGGAGAAGGAGAGCAGUAACUUAGGUAUCUAAACCAAGGGGGCCUUCCAGCUAAAUGUUCACAGAGGAUAUUCAAAUGCCUCUCCACAGCUUUCUAGUUUCAGGAUCAGAUUGGGUUUCUUUCUCACCGCGAGGGAAGGGGAUUAAGCUGUCAGCACCACAACAACAAGCAAUUGCUAACAGCCUUUCAAAAGUGAAUUCUGGCACUGAUGACAACUCUCUGUGCCGUAGCAGUCAUUGGUGGUGACAGUUCACACAAAGAGGCGCGCAUGCACCACACCUGAAGUCAAGCGUGAGGGUCUCACCUGUAAACACAAUGCAAUCCGUCUUCACACAGACCUCUGGGAAUACUUGGCAUUUAAAAAGUGGCUGUGUAUAUCAGGACAGGUUAAUGUGCCCGCUUUUCUUUCUUAAAUGCUACAUGUUAUUAUGGAGCCUGUCUGGAUGCUAUUAAAACGCAGCAGUGGCAGAGGAGCAGUAAUAAACUACCUCAUGAAUGUGGC
This 3311-nucleotide long non-coding RNA is filed under the name Salmo salar (Atlantic salmon). Its description in RNAcentral is "lncRNA (ENSSSAG00000105125.1)". The record is from RNAcentral. Lineage: Eukaryota; Metazoa; Chordata; Actinopteri; Salmoniformes; Salmonidae.